AGCGAACGUUGGCGGCGUGGAUGAGGCAUGCAAGUCGAGCGAGAAACGGGGGGCAACCCCCGGAGUAAAGCGGCGAAAGGGUGAGUAACGCGUAGGCAAUCCACCCCCGAGACCGGGACAACCCCUCGAAAGGGGGGCUAAUACCGGGUACGCCCCGUGGAGGGCAUCCUCCGCGGGGGAGACGGCGGGGAUCCUUCGGGACCCGCUGCUCGGGGAGGAGCCUGCGUCCCAUCAGCUUGUUGGCGGGGUGACGGCCCACCAAGGCUAUGACGGGUAGCCGGCCUGAGAGGGCGAUCGGCCACACUGGGACUGAGACACUGCCCAGACUCCUACGGGAGGCUGCAGUCGAGGAUCUUCCGCAAUGGGCGAAAGCCUGACGGAGCGACGCCGCGUGGGGGAUGAAGGCCUUCGGGUUGUAAACCCCUGUCACCCGUUAUGAAAGCCACCGGAGUAACCCUCCGGAGGUUGACAAAGGCGGGAGAGGAAGCCCCGGCUAACUACGUGC
Molecule: ribosomal RNA, 505 nt
Filed under: uncultured bacterium
Lineage: Bacteria
Description: bacterial SSU rRNA
Rfam family: Bacterial small subunit ribosomal RNA
Source: RNAcentral